UAGGGAAUCUUCCACAAUGGACGAAAGUCUGAUGGAGCAAUGCCGCGUGAGUGAAGAAGGUUUUCGGAUCGUAAAACUCUGUUGUUGAAGAAGAACAUAUGUGAGAGUAACUGUUCACGUACUGACGGUAUUCAACCAGAAAGCCACGGCUAACUACGUGCCAGCAGCCGCGGUAAUACGUAGGUGGCAAGCGUUGUCCGGAUUUAUUGGGCGUAAAGAGAAUGUAGGCGGUUUAUUAAGUUUGAAGUGAAAGCCCUCGGCUCAACCGAGGAAGUGCUUCGAAAACUGGUAAACUUGAGUGCAGAAGAGGAAAGUGGAACUCCAUGUGUAGCGGUGGAAUGCGUAGAUAUAUGGAAGAACACCAGUGGCGAAGGCGGCUUUCUGGUCUGUAACUGACGCUGAGAUUCGAAAGCAUGGGUAGCAAACAGG
RNAcentral lists this ribosomal RNA (429 nucleotides) under uncultured Bacillota bacterium. RNAcentral's name for it is "bacterial SSU rRNA". It matches the Rfam family "Bacterial small subunit ribosomal RNA", at positions 355 to 776 of the family's 1533-position model. Lineage: Bacteria; Bacillati; Bacillota. The record is from RNAcentral.